RNAcentral lists this long non-coding RNA (3959 nucleotides) under Homo sapiens (human). Its description in RNAcentral is "PREDICTED lncRNA (TCONS_00147592)". Lineage: Eukaryota; Metazoa; Chordata; Mammalia; Primates; Hominidae. The record is from RNAcentral.
UGACAAUGAGAAAGGAGAAAACAUUUCAUACAGAAUAUGCUGUAUCACUAGUGAUUAAAUCAGAAACAAUUAGAAACUUUAUUUGUCUGUGUCAGUAAUAUGUACCAUUUAUAAGGAAGAGCACAAUUAGUGCAUUUCCCGCCCCCCCCCCAAGCUGUGCACAAUACACACAAAAUAAAAUAAUUUUACACAACUAUAAUAAUAACAAUCCUGAACAACCAGAAUCAUAGUUUCCUAGAACAUGAAAAUUUAAAAAGCAAACAAACCAAAAAGCUUUCAAAUUGAAAUCGACCAAUGCAAGAAUUUCUUAAAGUUCUCUGUGAAAAUUUGCUACAGGAUUAUUGACAUUCCUAAUACAGCUAAAAAAUGAGUGCAAAAAUUUUUCUAAUGUUUAAACAACUUAUAUUCCUUGAAUAUAUUUACUUGGUGCUUCUAGGCUAGCUUUCCAUUUAGCAAUUCUCAAAAAAAAAAAAAAUAAGGAUGGGAAGGAUGGGUUAGAAUGACAAAGAAUUGUAAAGUGUGGGCCAUAGAAAAGUUCCAUUGCCAACAAAGAUAAAAGAUGGGAUACACUGGGCUUUCUCAGUGAUCUGGAUCACCAACAUGAUUGCCCUUCUUGGUUUAAAAUGGAGAGAUAUAUUUAUCUGCAAGUCGGUCAAAGAUAAAGAGGGUGGUUUUCCAAACAUAUGCCUUAUGCUCUCUUAGUUAAAGAAAUUCUUGGGUAUAAAUACAAUUUGGACAAUUGCUUUGAUACAGUUUCAGUGUGUUUAUGUUAAAAGAGUUUCAUAAUUGUUUUUUCUUGCAAGAUAAAAAUCUUUCCAUAUGGCUUUCUUCACUUUUACUCAUGAAAAUAGUAAUCACAUAAACUGUAACCCUUCUGAGGGCAGGGAUCUAGACUGUUUUGUUCAUGGCUUAGUCCCCAGAAAGUAUCAUACUACCUGGCACAUUAAGUGGGUAACCAGCAUUUAAUUACUCAUUCAGUCACCAAAUGUUUAUUAAAUGAGGAAGGAUCAUGGUUACUGAGUGACAGAAGAAAAAAUAAGUCUCAACAGCUUUAAUUUAUUAAGUAUUUUUGAAUCAAUACAGAGGGCUAGGAAUGUCUCCAGCCUGGGAUUCCUUAUAGACACAGAAGUCUCCGAGAGGUGACCAAAGUCAUUCUAUUAUUUUUCUCAUUAGUGGACUCACUACUUUGGAAUGUUGGGUUUAUCCAUGUUCUUUGGUAUUUUAACAUAGAAACAGCUAUUCUUUUUAAAGGGUUAAAAAUAUCCCAGUCCAAUCCUCCUGGGAGGUACUAGUCUUAUUUAAUUGCCUUCUCUUUCAGCAUAAGUAGAGGAGACAACACUUUUAAAGGCCCGUUGGUCACCCUGGCUUCUUUCUUACUCAGCAACUACUGAUAUAAUCAAAGAGGACUAGACUGGACAGUGAAAGAAACAGGGCUCAAAAUAGCCUUUUAAGUAAAAAAAUAAAAUGAACAAACCAGCACUAUCUACCAUCUGUGCCAGACAGUGCAGAUGUGAAAUAAAUACUUUGCAGGGAGGGGUGUUGUGGAAAGGGUGGCUCUGAAAGCCUAGGCACAUCCAACAUAUCAACGUCUCUAUAAGGCCUUUCUCCUUGGCCUUCCUGAAUUAAUGGGUGAUUUUUAGAGGCCUCUGAUGUGUUCCACAUGGCUAAUUUUCCAUGAAGAUCUUUGUAGUUUGCCUGCUAUCCUCUCAAUAGCUUUAACUUCUCCCCACAUGACAGUUAUUGCUUCUUAGAAAUGAAUGUGCAGAACCGUGAACAAUAAUCCAUUUUCUCCUUUUAUCCCUAGUAAUUAAUCAAACUCAAUAACAGCACAAAAGUAACAACUCAGGUGAAAAGAAAACUCACUUAUGUCUUCAAUGUCCAAUCAACAUUGCCAAAUGGGAGAACAGUAUGUACUAUACUCUACUAUAUACAGAUACUCUUUGUUUUGUUUUAUUUGUUUUUCACCAUGCACUGUGUAACAGGUAUCACAACAACAUUUCCGAACGGCACAUGAAGAAGGAGCAAAUGUUCAGUCAUGACUGGAACAGGAUUGUGCAAGCCAUGGAUGCCUUUGAAAAUAAAACUGACAGACAAUCCCAAGCAACGGCAACAUGGGACUGAGACACAUGUUAAUGCAAAUGGAAAACGAUGAUGUGCUUUUUGAAUGGGGUUAUUCUUACUGUUUGCAUAGGGGAUGGCAGGUGGACAGGAGGAACAGGGUUGGGAUGGGGCACCUGGGGGCUUAGCUGGGCUGAAUGCUGGAAGAAGGACCUUGCCAAUCACAGUCCAGAGCUAAAGAGAUAAGAAAGAAAGGAUUUUGCACGUUCCUGGGAAUCUAGGCACGUUUUCCUUGUACCUGUUAAACGAGACUGCCAGGUAUCACAUGUUUAAAUAUCAGACUAUUUCUAGAACCAUCGGAUUUCCUGGCUCCAUUCCACUUUUAUGCUUCUUCUUGGAGGCAGCUUCACCUCCACUCACAUUCCGGAGAUAAGCAUGAACUUUGGUAAUACGAUGAAGACAUGCUUCUUUCUUCUUCCAUGCCCAGAUUUUUUCUUAAUCCAAAAUAAGUUUUAAAGUGAUUGGGGGAGGUGAGGGGGAAUACUAAUGAUUUAAAUUUUUACCAAAACCCAUUUACAUUUGGAUGGUUUCACUUUCCACAAAGAAAAGCAACAACCCUGACUCUCCCAAAAAAACAAAACAAAACAAAAUAACAAAAAUAAAGCCAAACAUUAACUACCUCCCCAGCUCCACUGAAAACAAAACCAAAAACAAAACAAAUCAAAGCCUUAAGGAUUUAUCAACCUGGAGAGAGUGCAGCCCUUCUAGACUGAGCUGCAAAGAUGGCCCUGCCUCCAUGCCUUGUUGAACAUGAUGAUGCCCCUGGGAAUGGGAGGUGAUGGUUUUUUACUUCGGCCCUAGUACAGAGUAUGCUCUUGAAGCUGGAUUCCAUCAGCAGGUUUUGGAAAUCACUAGUGGGUAAAAAAGACCAAUUUGCAACUAGGCUCUCAUGCUCUGUUGAAAACUAUGUCACAAUAUCACAAUACUAGAUGCUGGGCUCAAGACAGCAAACAGAAAGCAGCAAGGGCAGUGACUGGAAGCUGGGAGAGAGGGUCAACAGCUGAAUCUCAGCCUGAUGGAGGCCACCAUUUAAUAAGUAAAUACAUGCACGGCUAUUUAGAUCCUGCAUCAGACAGGUCAUCAGAAAACAUGAAGCUAAAUGCAGUAAAGAAUUACUCUCUUGAACUCUUGAAAAUAUCAAAAACAUGAAGCUAAAUGCAGUAAAGAAUUAGUCUCUUGAACUCUUGAAAAUAUCAUUUUCUUAUAGAAAUGGUUUAAAAAUUUCUUUUUUAUUAUUUCUAAUUUUCCUUCAGAAAAUUGUGAGUUUUAACCUACAACACAUACACUCCAAGGUAAUGCCACUCUAAUGCUGUCUAGUUGAUCUGAAUAACUAACUGGUCAAUUAUCAGAUCCACCAAACUGUCUCUCUGGAGAUUAACUUCUGCCAGCAUAUUGGUUUCUGUUCAUUUUCACAAGAUUGACAGGCUCAUUACAGCAAUAUUAACAUCUUCCUUUGAGCACUCACACUGUGCAAUUGUAAUUUUGCAUAUGUUGAUGAGCAGGCAAUUACAUCAAAGAGUGAACACUGGGCUGAUGUGCAAGGCACUAUUUAAUUAUAAAAACAGUAUAGGAUUGAGCCCUGUCACUGAGUCUUCCAUUCCUUCUAUCUCGCCUGUUUCUAAUUUAUUUCUCUAUUUCUUCAUUUCUUCCUUGACUGUCUUCAUUCUUUGCUUUUUAUUUCUUUCUCCUUAAAUGACAGACCUUUUCUUAGAUGCCAUUUCUCUAUGUCUGCGCUUAAGACAAGAAUUUUUUUCCUCCUAGUUGUUGGUUAAUGUCUGCAAAUGUGAGAGCAUGUUAACAUGACAAACAACAAGGAAUUUGAAAUAAACUUAAAUGAAACA